This 89-nucleotide transfer RNA is filed under the name Penicillium salamii. RNAcentral's name for it is "tRNA-Ser". It matches the Rfam family "tRNA". From Rfam's summary of the family: Transfer RNA (tRNA) molecules are approximately 80 nucleotides in length. Their secondary structure includes four short double-helical elements and three loops (D, anti-codon, and T loops). Lineage: Eukaryota; Fungi; Ascomycota; Eurotiomycetes; Eurotiales; Aspergillaceae. The record is from RNAcentral.
GCGGAGGGGUGGCCGAGCGGCUUAAGGCAGCGGUCUUGAAAACCGCCGAUGGGAAACCAUCCGAGAGUUCGAAUCUCUCCUCCUCCGCC